AGUCGACGGUAACGAUGGUAGCUUGCUACCAGGCGACGAGUGGCGGACGGGUGAGUAACGCAUAGGAAUCUGCCUAGUAGUGGGGGACAACCUGGGGAAACUCAGGCUAAUACCGCAUACGCCCUUCGGGGGAAAGGCUUCGGCCGCUAUUAGAUGAGCCUAUGUCUGGUUAGCUUGUUGGUGGGGUAAAGGCCUACCAAGGCGACGACCAGUAGCUGGUCCGAGAGGACGAUCAGCCACACUGGGACUGAGACACGGCCCAGACUCCUACGGGAGGCAGCAGUGGGGAAUAUUGGACAAUGGGCGAAAGCCUGAUCCAGCAAUGCCGCGUGUGUGAAGAAGGCCUGCGGGUUGUAAAGCACUUUCAGUAGGGAAGAUAAUGACGGUACCUACAGAAGAAGCACCGGCUAACUCUGUGCCAGCAGCCGCGGUAAUACAGAGGGUGCAAGCGUUAAUCGGAAUUACUGGGCGUAAAGCGCGCGUAGGCGGUUUGUUAAGUCGGAUGUGAAAGCCCUGGGCUCAACCUGGGAACUGCAUUCGAAACUGGCAGGCUAGAGUAUGGUAGAGGGAAGUGGAAUUCCGGGUGUAGCGGUGAAAUGCGUAGAUAUCCGGAGGAACAUCAGUGGCGAAGGCGGCUUCCUGGACCAAUACUGACGCUGAGGUGCGAAAGCGUGGGGGGCAAACAGGAUUAGAUACCCUGGUAGUCCACGCCGUAAACGAUGAGAACUAGACGUUGGGUUCAUUUAA
Molecule: ribosomal RNA, 747 nt
Filed under: uncultured marine bacterium
Lineage: Bacteria
Description: bacterial SSU rRNA
Rfam family: Bacterial small subunit ribosomal RNA
Source: RNAcentral